RNAcentral lists this ribosomal RNA (944 nucleotides) under metagenome. RNAcentral's name for it is "bacterial SSU rRNA". It matches the Rfam family "Bacterial small subunit ribosomal RNA", at positions 8 to 942 of the family's 1533-position model. The record is from RNAcentral.
AGAGUUUGAUCCUGGCUCAGAUUGAACGCUGGCGGCAUGCCUUACACAUGCAAGUCGAACGGCAGCAUGAUCUAGCUUGCUAGAUUGAUGGCGAGUGGCGAACGGGUGAGUAAUACAUCGGAACGUGCCCUGUAGUGGGGGAUAACUAGUCGAAAGAUUAGCUAAUACCGCAUACGACCUGAGGGUGAAAGUGGGGGACCGCAAGGCCUCAUGCUAUAGGAGCGGCCGAUGUCUGAUUAGCUAGUUGGUGAGGUAAAGGCUCACCAAGGCGACGAUCAGUAGCUGGUCUGAGAGGACGAUCAGCCACACUGGGACUGAGACACGGCCCAGACUCCUACGGGAGGCAGCAGUGGGGAAUUUUGGACAAUGGGGGCAACCCUGAUCCAGCAAUGCCGCGUGUGUGAAGAAGGCCUUCGGGUUGUAAAGCACUUUUGUCCGGAAAGAAAUNGCNCUNNNUAAUANNNGGNGUNGAUGACGGUACCGGAAGAAUAAGGACCGGCUAACUACGUGCCAGCAGCCGCGGUAAUACGUAGGGUCCAAGCGUUAAUCGGAAUUACUGGGCGUAAAGCGUGCGCAGGCGGUUGUGCAAGACCGAUGUGAAAUCCCCGNGCUUAACNUGGGAAUUGCAUUGGUGACUGCACGGCUAGAGUGUGUCAGAGGGGGGUAGAAUUCCACGUGUAGCAGUGAAAUGCGUAGAGAUGUGGAGGAAUACCGAUGGCGAAGGCAGCCCCCUGGGAUAACACUGACGCUCAUGCACGAAAGCGUGGGGAGCAAACAGGAUUAGAUACCCUGGUAGUCCACGCCCUAAACGAUGUCAACUAGUUGUUGGGGAUUCAUUUCCUUAGUAACGUAGCUAACGCGUGAAGUUGACCGCCUGGGGAGUACGGUCGCAAGAUUAAAACUCAAAGGAAUUGACGGGGACCCGCACAAGCGGUGGAUGAUGU